This is a long non-coding RNA of Diachasma alloeum, 1715 nucleotides long. RefSeq lists it as uncharacterized. The record is from RefSeq and is a predicted model, not a curated record. The transcript has 6 exons. Lineage: Eukaryota; Metazoa; Arthropoda; Insecta; Hymenoptera; Braconidae.
AUAACAAGUGGUGGACGAGAAACAGAAAAUUUCCCUCCUUGCCGUAUCUACUGAGAUAUCAAUAAAUGAGUGAUUUUGCUCAAUCUUAGGGAGUGCCACCACAACCACCACCACCACCGCCACCACCACCACCACCACCGCCACCGCCACCACCACCACCAAUGGAUCAGGAAGAGGAGCAGCAGCAACAACAGCAAGACCAAGCUCCGCAGGAUCAAGGUCAGCAAGAUCAACCGCAGGCCCCACCCCUACAACAGGACCCUGGACAGGACCCUCCCCAAGAUGAUGAUAAUAUCCCACUCCAUCUGAUUGCCAAUCUUCGAGACGGAAUGGAUCUAUUGCAGAGGUAGAUUGAGAGAAAUCUACGAGCUGGUAGAGGCGGCAGAGGUUUGAAUCAAGGGAAACAGAGAGGAGGACGGAAUCAGCCAGCAAGGGGUGGCGAUCAUGUGCGGCGAGGAGAGAAUGGGAGAGGAGCUGGGAAUAAUCGAGGAAGAAAUGAGAACAGAGAGAAUCGAGGGAAUCAGGCAGCAAGAGGCGGUGAUCGUAGGCGUCGAGAAGAGAAUGGGAGAGUUGCUGGGAAUAACCGUGGAGGAGGAAAUCAGGCAGCAAGAGGUGGCGAUCGAGAGAACCGAGGAGGGAACGGGAGAGAUGCUGGGAACAAUCGACGAGGGAGAGGGGGUGGAAGAGCUGGGCAGAACCUCGACCGCCGUAACGCUAUAUAUUGGAAAGGAAAAUAUCACCAGAGGAGGGACAAUGAGCCACGUAGAGGGAGCGGCGGCGGUUCCGUCAUUUACCAAUAUUAUCAGUAGUUGAUAUUUCGGCUUUGGGUUUCAUAUGAUGGUAAAUAUUGAUGAAUUUCCGUGAUUAUUAUAUGAAUGGGUUAAUAGUGGAUUCAUUGAUUGAGAUAAAAAAUUGAUUCAGUUCAUUCAAAAGUGUUUCAGUCAUUCGAUUUGUAUGAAAAAAAUAAUUGGAAUCGAACUGCAUUGAUUUUUUCCUCAAUAUAAUCCACUGUUAACGCAUUCAUUCCAUGAUUGGGAGAAGUUCAUGAUGCUUGCGCAGUCUCUUCCUACUCUUUCGUCCAGUUUUCAUAACUAUUCAAAAAAAGGAGUCUUCAUAUUUAUCGUUCUAUAAGGACACAGAGAAGGCUGGUUUGAGUCCAAAAAUUGUUCCUACGAUGAUCCAAAGAAGUGUUUCUACGAGCAUUCCAGGAUGGAUCUCCGAGAUAGAAAAUGAUUGGACUUGUUUAUGCAUUUUCUUACUUGAUUUUUGUUGGAUGAGAACAAAAGUUCUCCACUAUGUCCUUGAAUAAUGAAAAAAACAUGUACUUCCUCAAAGGAAAAAGAUGUACUUGAUUGUUUUUAAGGAAUAUAUUUUUUUAUGAUUAAAAUAACUCGUUUUGGAUAAUAAAAAAAAUAGAAAAUUUGAAAAAUGAUAAAAAUAUACUAGAUAAGGAAUUUUUCAGUAUAAUUGAAAAUUUGAAUGUAAUUAGUGUUGCCGCCGCUAGGUGGUGAUGAGUCGAUAAAGCACUAAAUUCUUUCAAUGACUGUACCGAUUCAGUCAACAGCUGAUAUUCAUCCGUUCGUAGCAGAAUUUUUGAAGAAAAACGGCUGUGAAUUAAUAAUUUCCAGAAAUCGGAUUCAACCUUGCAUCGGACUGGAUUUUUCGUCGGUUCUUAACCUGUAUUUGUAGCAAUUAUCUUGUCAAUUAUUUACUCU